This is a long non-coding RNA of Vigna angularis (adzuki bean), 5877 nucleotides long. RefSeq lists it as uncharacterized. NCBI's taxonomy places the organism in Eukaryota, Viridiplantae, Streptophyta, Magnoliopsida, Fabales, Fabaceae. The transcript is spliced from 3 exons. The record is from RefSeq and is a predicted model, not a curated record.
CAUUAUGAUUUCAAGAGAUCUCAUGUCUAUGUAUUUGUAUAUUUUCUUUUGUCGGCAUUCAUGCACAAGAAAAGGAGGAAAGAAGGAAUUGAAUGGAAGUAACAUUUCUUAGUACCGCAGAUGCUUAUGGGAGGAAGUGGGUCAUUCUCAGCUGGAAAGGGAAUGCACUCAAGGCUUUAUCUUCGUGUCUUGAAUGAAUACCAGCAGAUUCAAUGUUUUUCUGCAUUCAACAGUCUCUUCAACAAUACAGGGUUAUUUGGCUUAUAUGCAACCACAUUAAGGCACAAUCUUUUCUUAAAACACAGAUGUGAUGUCUCUAUUUAAUUUUCUCUGAAUUUUUUAUUCAUUGAAUGGUUGGGUUAGUUCGUCUAGAAAAAUAAGUUCCCUUCUAUAAUUUAUUAACACAGCACAAGAUAUUUAAAAUGUACUUCUAAGUUGAAGUUGUCUUGAACGUUGAUCCGAAAAUAAAAUAAAUUGUAGAUUCCGCAAGUUGAAGUUGCACAGACUAGGUUUCCUAUCGGUUACUUCUUCAUUUUCCUCCUUCUUUUAAGCUCUUUUGAAUUUUCGACAGAGUAUUUUUAAAAGUAUGAAAUUUGAGCUCUUUUUCAUGUGUCAAUUUAGAGUUCUGAUUAUGUGGAAAAAGAUGUGGAACUAGCAGUCAGAGAAUUAAUAGCACUCGCAUCACAAGGACAAGUUUCACAGAUACAGCUUGACUGUGCCAAGGAAUCCACGAAGUCUGCACUCUCUACUUGAACUGGUAGUUUGAAUGAUGUGGAAUUUCUUUCAUUUAAUCCUCCUGCCCCACUGGAAUUAAGAAUACUGUGACUCUUGCAUCAUUGCUUCCUUCUCUAUUAUCUAUCAUGGAUUUCUCUACACGCUUUGUCACAAAUAGAAAGGAGAAUUGUGUUGCUUUUACUUGUCAUUUGCCCAAGACUAACUGUUUUUGCAGAUAAUUGCAUCAGAGGAUAUAGGAAGGCAGAUAUUAACUUACGGGGAAAGGUAAAAAAAUUCAAUCAGAAGCCUAUUAUUUUAUUUAUUUAUCAACAUUUUUUUUCCAUUUAUUUAAAUCCUCCAGCUGCUGCUACUUUAAACUGAGAAGUAUCACUUAAAUCAUGGGCAUAAUUUGUAAUGAGAAUUUGUGUGAUUACCUUUUCUUCAGAAAGCCACUAGAGCAGUUCUUAAAGGAAGUAGAGCAAUCACUUUCAAACCUACAAUGUAUUAUUAUUGUGUAUGGUGUGUACCUUAAUUUCUAUUAAUGUUGUGUUAUGAUGAAUUUGAUUGUGUUAUAAAAAUGUUUUGAAGUUAAUUGUUGGCAUGCUUUGUUAUCAAUUCCCACCCUCUAUCACAACUGUAAUACCAACAUGAACUCCAUAGCAUUGGAGUUGUGGCUAAAAUUAAAUUGUUUUGUCCACACGUGACCUACCAAUACAUGACUGACUAUUUCAGGUGAAGUUUCUGUACAAAACAUGAUUUUCUCUCGCGUAAUCGUUUACCAGGACUGUGUAAACGAUUACAGCAGGGUUUUUUGACCAGUCUGAUUCAUCCCUUCCACAACUUGGUCCCCCACUCAAAAUGGGUCAUUCCCAACUCCUUGGGGUCACAUGAUAUCACCAAGCACAAGCUACCAACAGUCAAACACCAACAUGUUCCAAAGACAAGUGCAAAUGUGAGUCAAACAUACUGGUUUUGACAAUGGUCAGCCGUGUUACCCUGACUGACUACUUCAGUUGAAGUUUCUGUACAAAACCUUAUUUUCUCUCGCGUAAUCAUUUACCAGGAUUGUGUAAACGAUUACAGCAGGGGUUUUGGACCACUCUGAUUCAUCCCUUGCACAACUUGGUCCCCCCACUCAAAAUGGGUCAUUCCCCACUACUUGGGGUCACAUCACAUCACCAAGCACCAUCUAUAAACAGUCAAACACCAACAUCUUCCAAAGACAAGUGCAGAUGUGACUGAAACAUACUGGUUUUGACAAUGGUCACCAGUGUUACCCUGACUGACUACUUCAUGUGAAGUUUCUGUACAAAACAUGAUUUUCUCUCACGUAAUCGUUUAUCAGGACUGUGUAAACGAUUACAGCAGGGUUUUUUGACCAGUCUGAUUCAUCCCUUCCACAACUUGGUCCCUCCACUCAAAAUGGGUUAUUCCCCACUACUUGGGGUCACAUCACAUCACCAAGCACCAUCUACAAACAAUCAAAAACUAACAUCUUCCAAACACAAGUGUAGAUGUGAGUGAAACAUACUGUUUUUGACAAUGGUCACCCAUGUUACCCUGACUGACUACUUCAGGUGAAGUUUUUGUACAAAACAUGGAUUUCUCUCGGGUAAUCGUUUACGAAGACACUGUAAACGAUUACCACAGGGUUUCUUGACCAGUGAGAGUCAGCCCUUCCACAACUUGGUCCCCCCACUCAAAAUGGGUCAUUCCCCACUACUUGGGGUCACAUCACAUCACCAAGCACCAUCUACAAACAGUCAAACACUAACAUCUUCCAAAGAGAAGUGCAGAUGUGACUGAAACAUAUUGGUUUUGACUAUGAUCACCCAUGUUACCCUGACUGACUACUUCAGUUGAAGUUUCUAUACAAAACAUGAUUUUCUCUCGCGUAAUCGUUUAGCAGGACUGUGUAAACGAUUACAGCAGGGUAUUUGGACCACUCUGAUUCAUCCCUUGCACAACUUGGUCCCCCCACUCGAAAUAGGUCAUUCCCAACUCCUUGAGGUCACAUGACAUCACCAAGCACAAGCUACCAACAGUCAAACACCAACAUGUUCCAAAGACAAGUGCAAAUGUGAGUCAAACAUACUGGUUUUGACAAUGGUCACCCGUGUUACCCUGACUGACUACUUCAGUUGAAGUUUCUGUACAAAACCUUAUUUUCUCUCGCGUAAUCGUUUACCAGGACUGUGUAAACGAUUACAGUAGAGUUUUUGGACCACUCUGAUUCAUCUCUUGCACAACUUGGUCCCCCCACUCAAAAGGGGUCAGUCCUCACUCCUUGGUGUCACAUCACAUCACCAAGCACCUUCUACAAACAGUCAAAGACUAACAACUUCCAAACACAAGUGCCCGUCUGAGUCAAACAUAAUGUUUUGACAAUGGUCACUUAUGUUGCCUUGAUUGAUUACUUCAGUUGGGGUUUUUGUACAAAGUCUGGAUUUCGAUCGCGUAAUCGUUUACCAACACACUGUAAACGAUUACAACAGGGUGUUUUGAGCAGACUCGCUCAGCCCUUCCAGAACUUGGUCCCCCCACUCACAUUGCCUCAUUUCCUACUCCUUCGGAUCACAUCAUAUCACCAACCACCAUCUACCAACAGUCAAUGACUAACAUCUUCCAAAUACAAGUCCACAUGUGACUCAAACAAACUGUUUUUGACAAUGGUCACCCAUGUUACCCAGACUGACUACUGCAGUUGAAGUUUUUGUACAAUACCUAGAAUAUUCUCGCGUAAUCGUUUACGAGGACUGUGUAAACGAUUACGAAUGUGUGUUUUUCAGCAGACUAGCUCAAGCCUUGCCCAAGUUGUUUCCCCCACUGAAAAUGGGUUCUUCCCCACUACUUGGGGUCACCUCACAUCCCCUAUUACCCUCUAAGACCACUAAAACACCAACAUCUUCCAAACACAAGUGCCACUCUGAGUCAAAAUAACAGUUUUUGCCAAUGGUGACCAAAGUCACCCUGCUUCACUAUUUCAAUUCAAAUUUCUGUACAAAACACACAUUAUUGUCGCGUAAUCGUUUACUAACCCACUGUAAACGAUUACCAUUUAGUUUGUUCACCAGCCCAACUCAGAACUUGUUCAACUCCCUCGCAGUAAUGACCCUUAAUUUCACUUAUGAAACCCUCCCUUACUUUUGAAAUACUUAUUAUAAUGGUGCGUUAUUUUUUCAAUAAAAGAUUUAUUCAUUAUAACAAACACAACGUCAAAACAAUUAAAUUGAAAAUUCAACCAAUAAUCUUAUUACAAAAACAAUGUCUACAUUGUCAACUAACAUUAUGUACAUAUAUAAACAUGUUGUGUUACAAGACAAAUUUGUUCAUGUGUAACCAAUCCUAAAGAAUGCCAUAUAGCUCUAGGGCUUCCAUUCGUCUUAUGUUCUCGUUGUCCAGGAUCCAUUGACAUACAUAUUUCUUUCUAAUCCCAAGCAGCUCCUUCUGAAACCAACAUUUUCCCAUUAGAAAUCAACACAUAAAAUAAUUUUAACAAACACACAAUUGCUACUUACAAUUGUAUAUUGAGGCAUGCUUUUUCCGUUGUAUUUGUCGUCUCCAUCCUAAAUUUCCAUUGCUUUCAACAUUAUGACUUCACAAUCAUGUCUGAAAUAAUAUACCCACCACAUAAAAUUACUUUUCACCAUAUAUUCAUCACAACACAAUAUAAUACAACAGUACAAUUCAAAAAACAUACAAGUUUGGUUGGCAUGAAAUAUUUGCUUGUUUAACAGUCAAAGGACCAAUACUACCUUCCGGUCUAUUCAUCAAGAGGCAAAAAAACUGUGCCAUAUUUUCAGCCUACCAGUUAACAAAUACAAAAAAAAUGUUAAACAAUACAGGGUUAUCUAACAAUCACAGGGUCAUCAACAAUGAAAUAUGUGGAAUCUUACAACCGCUGUGUCUAUCCUUUUCCGGUCUCUGAUCCCCUUACCUAAAGAGUCAAUCACAAAUAUCUCUAAUGAACUCAAUUUCACUGAAUAACACCACCAAUGAUCAUCGUGGACAAAUGGCAUAAACAACUACAAACAAUAAAAACAAUAUCAAUAAAACAUUUCCGACCAAAACUGGACAAAUAUUGCACAUUAAAGGUUACUCACAAAGUCAGCUGUGGCAAUGUCUCCAAGUCCAAACUGAUCGCAACACAGAUAACUGUUAUAGUUAUGAAGCGUCCAAACAUGACGAUUCUGUGGACGUUUCCUAUAAUCUGUAAGAAUAUGGUGCUGUGGACAAUUUCAAAAUCAUCAAUCAAAAAUCAUUUCUUCAAUGAAAUAUAUGAUACAAUAUCAAAUUUUAUUUACCGAGUAUAAUGGACUAAAAUGAAUCUUCUUAACAACACCGCACAACCUUUUCUCAAAGUACAUAAACAUCGUACAAGCAAAUAACACCACCUACACAAUAAAAAAUUUUCACAUUAUUAACAUAAACUACAACAUGAAACACAAAGAAAACUCACAAUACUAACCAUGUUAUCAACAUAUUUUAUCGGGGUCAAAGUGUAAAAUGAAGUCGUGCUCAACGUUUGCCCAAUUAUCUCGCAUACAACCCUAAACAUAUAAAUAUUAGUCCAUCACAAAAAAUAGAGAUUCGCCAACCACAACUACAAUUCAAAGCAAAUACCUGUAUACAGUGAACUCUCUGACGCUGACUGCUCUAUACAAUUGGUCUACAUCAAUAGUGGUGCUUGGAUCCCCAACAAAACUGCGCAAUGGGGGGAUAACCAAUGGUACGACCUCCUGUUCUUCUUCAUCCCCAUCAUCUUGGAUUUCAAUACAAACAAUGUUAUCAUGACUUCUUGAAACUAUCUCAUCUUCAUAUGCGAUUUUAUCCUCCCCUCUUACUUCCGUAUAUGCACCUAGGGGGUCAUCAACUGCAUUACCAUCACCUUGUUGUUCAAAUCCACAAUCACGACCAACUUUAGCCUCUUCGUCACCUCCAACUUCAGGUGCUUCAUCAACUCCACCAGCAACUUCUUCAUCAGUACCACAUGCAUCUUCUUCAGUAAAGAUUGGAGUUUGACAAAUUUCAAAUAACUCCCUAGUAAGAACUCCAAUCUUGGCAUUCAAUGCUUUGAGAUCUUCAUUGGUUUUCCUUAAUAUCUCCUCGGCACCUACUUCCCAUGUGUCAUCAUCAGAGCUUUUGUCAUCAUCUUUCUCAACC